Molecule: transfer RNA, 86 nt
Filed under: Alistipes sp.
Lineage: Bacteria; Pseudomonadati; Bacteroidota; Bacteroidia; Bacteroidales; Rikenellaceae
Description: tRNA-Leu
Rfam family: tRNA
About the family: Transfer RNA (tRNA) molecules are approximately 80 nucleotides in length. Their secondary structure includes four short double-helical elements and three loops (D, anti-codon, and T loops). Further hydrogen bonds mediate the characteristic L-shaped molecular structure. tRNAs have two regions of fundamental functional importance: the anti-codon, which is responsible for specific mRNA codon recognition, and the 3' end, to which the tRNAs corresponding amino acid is attached (by aminoacyl-tRNA synthetases). tRNAs cope with the degeneracy of the genetic code in two manners: having more than one tRNA (with a specific anti-codon) for a particular amino acid; and 'wobble' base-pairing, i.e. permitting non-standard base-pairing at the 3rd anti-codon position.
Source: RNAcentral
GCUCGGAUGGUGGAACAGGUAGACACGCCGGACUUAAAAUCCUGUGACCAGCAAUGGUCGUACGGGUUCGAUUCCCGUUCCGAGUA